This 252-nucleotide ribosomal RNA is filed under the name uncultured bacterium. Its description in RNAcentral is "partial 16S ribosomal RNA". It matches the Rfam family "Bacterial small subunit ribosomal RNA", at positions 524 to 776 of the family's 1533-position model. The record is from RNAcentral.
UACGUAGGUCCCGAGCGUUGUCCGGAUUUAUUGGGCGUAAAGCGAGCGCAGGUGGUUUAUUAAGUCUGGUGUGAAAGGCAGUGGCUCAACCAUUGUAUGCAUUGGAAACUGGUAGACUUGAGUGCAGGAGAGGAGAGUGGAAUUCCAUGUGUAGCGGUGAAAUGCGUAGAUAUAUGGAGGAACACCGGUGGCGAAAGCGGCUCUCUGGCCUGUAACUGACACUGAGGCUCGAAAGCGUGGGGAGCAAAUAGG